RNAcentral lists this ribosomal RNA (651 nucleotides) under uncultured Cantharellus. Its description in RNAcentral is "eukaryotic LSU rRNA". It matches the Rfam family "Eukaryotic large subunit ribosomal RNA", at positions 1 to 644 of the family's 3401-position model. Lineage: Eukaryota; Fungi; Basidiomycota; Agaricomycetes; Cantharellales; Hydnaceae. The record is from RNAcentral.
AUGACCUCAAAUCAGAUGAGACUACCCGCUGAACUUAAGCAUAUCAAUAAGCGGAGGAAAAGAAACUAACAAGGAUUCCCUCAGUAACGGCGAGUGAAGAGGGAAGAGCUCAGUUUUGAAAUCUGGCAGUCAUUCACUGUCCGAGUUGUAAAUUGAAGAGAGUGUCAUCCACACUGGACCAUGUCUAAAUUGUAAUGAUCCACAGUCCUUUGAUGGAGUAUCGGAGAGGGUAAUAAUCCCGUCUUUAACGUGGACUCCCAGUGUUUAUGUGAUGCAUUCUCUCAGAGUCGAGUAGUUUGGGAAUGCUGCUCUAAUGGGAGGUAAACUCCUUCUAAAGCUAAAUAUUGGCGAGAGACCGAUAGCGAACAAGUACCGUGAGGGAAAGAUGAAAAGAACUCUGAAAAGAGAGUCAAACAGAACGUGAAAUUGCUGAAAGGGAAGCGUUUGGAGUCAGAUGCGUCUUCAUGGAAUAACGACUCAGUUAGCAGAGACUGAGGUCAGUGACUUGAAGAUGGGCCAGCACUCACGUAGACCAUUGAAAAAGGGGUCAUUGGAAUGUAGCUCAAUUUAUUGAGUGAUUAUAGCCUUGAUUCAUAUACAAUGUGUGUUAUGUGAGAUUGACAGCACGACUUCAGUGCUGCUGACUGCAUA